RNAcentral lists this ribosomal RNA (436 nucleotides) under uncultured bacterium. Its description in RNAcentral is "bacterial SSU rRNA". It matches the Rfam family "Bacterial small subunit ribosomal RNA", at positions 28 to 458 of the family's 1533-position model. The record is from RNAcentral.
GAUGAACGCUAGCGAUAGGCCUAACACAUGCAAGUCGAGGGGCAUCACAUGAGGCAGCAAUGCCGAUGGUGGCGACCGGCGCACGGGUGCGUAACGCGUAUGCAAUCUACCUUGUACAGGGGAAUAGCCCAGAGAAAUUUGGAUUAAUGCCCCAUGGUAUAUAGUUUUCGCAUGAUUACUAUAUUAAAGAUUUAUCGGUACAAGAUGAGCAUGCGUCCCAUUAGUUAGUUGGUGUGGUAACGGCACACCAAGACGAUGAUGGGUAGGGGUCCUGAGAGGGAGAUCCCCCACACUGGUACUGAGACACGGUCCAGACUCCUACGGGAGGCAGCAGUGGGGAAUAUUGCACAAUGGGCGAAAGCCUGAUGCAGCAACGCCGCGUGAGCGAUGAAGGCCUUCGGUCGUAAGCUCUGUCCUAUGGAAGAUAAUGACGGUA